RNAcentral lists this ribosomal RNA (1445 nucleotides) under uncultured organism. Its description in RNAcentral is "SSU rRNA". It matches the Rfam family "Bacterial small subunit ribosomal RNA". The record is from RNAcentral.
GCUACAGGCUUAACACAUGCAAGUCGAGGGGCAUCAGGAAGAAAGCUUGCUUUCUUUGCUGGCGACCGGCGCACGGGUGAGUAACACGUAUCCAACCUGCCCUUUACUCGGGGAUAGCCUUUCGAAAGAAAGAUUAAUACCCGAUGGCAUAAUGAUUCCGCAUGGUUUCAUUAUUAAAGGAUUCCGGUAAAGGAUGGGGAUGCGUUCCAUUAGGUUGUUGGUGAGGUAACGGCUCACCAAGCCUUCGAUGGAUAGGGGUUCUGAGAGGAAGGUCCCCCACAUUGGAACUGAGACACGGUCCAAACUCCUACGGGAGGCAGCAGUGAGGAAUAUUGGUCAAUGGGCGCUAGCCUGAACCAGCCAAGUAGCGUGAAGGAUGAAGGCUCUAUGGGUCGUAAACUUCUUUUAUAUAAGAAUAAAGUGCAGUAUGUAUACUGUUUUGUAUGUAUUAUAUGAAUAAGGAUCGGCUAACUCCGUGCCAGCAGCCGCGGUAAUACGGAGGAUCCGAGCGUUAUCCGGAUUUAUUGGGUUUAAAGGGAGCGUAGGUGGACUGGUAAGUCAGUUGUGAAAGUUUGCGGCUCAACCGUAAAAUUGCAGUUGAUACUGUCAGUCUUGAGUACAGUAGAGGUGGGCGGAAUUCGUGGUGUAGCGGUGAAAUGCUUAGAUAUCACGAAGAACUCCGAUUGCGAAGGCAGCUCACUGGACUGCAACUGACACUGAUGCUCGAAAGUGUGGGUAUCAAACAGGAUUAGAUACCCUGGUAGUCCACACAGUAAACGAUGAAUACUCGCUGUUUGCGAUAUACAGUAAGCGGCCAAGCGAAAGCAUUAAGUAUUCCACCUGGGGAGUACGCCGGCAACGGUGAAACUCAAAGGAAUUGACGGGGGCCCGCACAAGCGGAGGAACAUGUGGUUUAAUUCGAUGAUACGCGAGGAACCUUACCCGGGCUUAAAUUGCAGUGGAAUGAUGUGGAAACAUGUCAGUGAGCAAUCACCGCUGUGAAGGUGCUGCAUGGUUGUCGUCAGCUCGUGCCGUGAGGUGUCGGCUUAAGUGCCAUAACGAGCGCAACCCUUAUCUUUAGUUACUAACAGGUUAUGCUGAGGACUCUAGAGAGACUGCCGUCGUAAGAUGUGAGGAAGGUGGGGAUGACGUCAAAUCAGCACGGCCCUUACGUCCGGGGCUACACACGUGUUACAAUGGGGGGUACAGAAGGCAGCUAGCGGGUGACCGUAUGCUAAUCCCAAAAGCCUCUCUCAGUUCGGAUCGAAGUCUGCAACCCGACUUCGUGAAGCUGGAUUCGCUAGUAAUCGCGCAUCAGCCACGGCGCGGUGAAUACGUUCCCGGGCCUUGUACACACCGCCCGUCAAGCCAUGGGAGCCGGGGGUACCUGAAGUACGUAACCGCAAGGAUCGUCCUAGGGUAAAACUGGUGACUGGGGCUAAGUA